Nothobranchius furzeri (turquoise killifish) is the source of this 4202-nucleotide non-coding RNA. Lineage: Eukaryota; Metazoa; Chordata; Actinopteri; Cyprinodontiformes; Nothobranchiidae. The record is from RefSeq and is a predicted model, not a curated record.
UUUAACGCGUUAAUUACGAUUAAUUGAUUAGAAAAAAAUAACGCGUUAAAAAAAAUUAACGCAUUUGAUCACAGCUUGCAUUUCAAGCACGGCGGAACCUUUGUCAUUGCACGUUUUCCUCGUAGACCGAAUAUCACUGACGCACACAACAAUGCACAGUGGCUAAUGGCUACUAAAACGAAAUAAAAACAGAAAGAAGUUGCCUUGCUUGGACUGAUGCAGGAUUUAGGAAACACAACCGCCUCUUUUCUUAACUUGGAAAAUAAAAACUUCCAGACAACAACGGAGUCCGUGUCGCGGACAUUUUUCAGAGCUCUGCUGCGGCUGCCCGCCCGGUGGCACAGGAAACUUUACAAAAGUUGCGGGGCAGCGAGGAACGAGGAAGUUGUGUUCAGGCUGGAGAUCACACCAGAUUCGCUGCAGCAUGUGUGAAUCUGCGGGUCGGCAGCAUCCCCUUAUUAACGUGACAGCAGAACUUCCCAUGUAAGGAAGGUCUGCUCACCUGUUCGUCAGAUCAUUAUUUCCUCGCCAUGAUCUUAUAACAUCCCAUCAACCUCCAGUCAUCCAACUGGAACCAGUUAGUGUUCCUGAUCAUUCUCAGAAUAUGCCAUGCCUGCUCUGGUGUUAAAAGUUAGUACAUUUAAGUACUAGAUCAUAUCUGUGCCUGUUCUACUGUCAUUCUGAAGGAUUAUUAUUUGUGUUUUUACUACUUUAUGAGCAGAAAUGCUAAUACAAUCUCCCAAUUAUACAAACAAGUGAAACUGGAAAAAUUAGAAUCUGGUGCAAAGUCAAAUUUAUUUCAGUCAUUCAACUAGACAGAGAGACUAUUUAAAGGCUCAGGAACCAUUUGCAGGUGUUUUCUAUUUGUAAUUAUGAAUUUUAGUUGAUUUGGGUUUUGUUUCAUAUCACACAGUGACAUGUGAAUAACUAAAAUGCAUUUUUUAUUAAAAGCUUUAGUUUACAGUAAUAACCAUGUCUAAUGUUUGAUUCUCUGUCUCAUAAUUUUAAUUAAAAGUUUUACUUUGAGAGUGCAUUUUCCUGAACGAUUAAAAUGCGAUUAAUCGAGAUUAAUUAAUUACAAAGCCUGUAAUAAAUUAGAUUAAUUUUUUUAAUCAAGUCCCAGACCUAGUUAAAACAUUUGUAAGAUGUUGAUUGCAUCAGAACCACUAGAUGUCGCCAUAGCACUAUGUACAACAACAGGUUUGCGUUGCAGACAGUGAAUCAAAGAUUUGUUUUCAAAUGUUCAUGAAAUGCGAGUUUUGGGCUUCUGUUUCUUUUUUGUGUGGAUAUUUGUUCCGGAAUCAAAGUAGAAAAAGAACAUCUACACUCGGGACACACACACACACACACACACACACUCACACAGGAUUUUCCAGCACAUCGAACAAAACAAACCCUGGAUGUUUUUAAUGUGUUGAUCUGGUCAGAACUGGACCUGUUGUCAUCAUGUUGUCGUUAUAUAAUAGCACUCUUUCAAAGUGAUGCGCAGCAGGUUUUUCCUCUAAUCCUACCAGUUCAGACUGACUGCACACUAGGUUCUGCAGCUUUUACGCAGAACACCGGUACUCAGGUUCUGACAGAAAAGGUGUUGCAGACAGUCUUCAUGACAAAUCACAUCUUAACUUAAAAAGACAUGAAGAGAUGAUGCAAACAGCAACUGCAAGAACACAAUUUAAAAAUUUAAUCUAGAUUUAUUUUUCAAAGUCAGUCAUUCCUUUCAUGGAUCAGGUCAGGUGGCGCAUCAAAAUCUCCUUUAACCACUCAUUUGGACUACUGCAACUCACUUUAUUGGGCCUGGAUCAGUCAUCUUUAAAUAGACGCCAGCUGGUUCAAAAUGCAGCGGCACGCUUGCUGACUGGCACCAGAAAGCGUGACCAUAUAACCCCAGUGUUGGUAUCUCUUCACUGGAUCCCUGUGUACUACAGGAUUCAUUUUAAUAAAGUCCUACUUUGUUUUUGAGGCCUAGUCCACACGUAGCCAGGGUUUUUUAAAAACGAAUAUCCGCCCCUCCAAAAACUUGCAUCCACACCACCUCGUUUUAAAAACAAACUCUGUCCAUACGUACCCGGAUAAAUACGUUGUUAAGGGCAUGCCAGACCUGUAGGUGGCAGUACUUCCCCCGUUCUUAACCUCGUCCUUCGUCUGUGGUCUUCCGCAAGGAGCAGUAAUUCCGCUUGCAAAAACAAACAAGCAAAAAGCGCUUGGACAACUGAUAAAGCGAGCGCAGCUCUGAGGGCAUCCAUGCUGUCGGCUAGUGUAAACACAGGUCGCACACGUGAUGUCAGCAUUUUUUGUUGCGGAAAGUGACGUUGCGGACCUUAAAACUCCGGUUUUGUCUGUCCACACGCAGACACCCAAAACGGAGAAAACGCAGAUCUUCACUUUGGCCGGAGUUUUUAAAAAGAUCCGUUUUCGUGUGAAAAAACUCAGUUUUCGUGUGGAUGACAGGCCAAAACGUAGAAAAAUAUCUACGUUUUGGCAGAUCACCGGCUACGUGUGGACAGGGCCUUAAAUCUCUUCAUGGAUUGGCUCCACCAUACAUCAGCUAUUGUUCAUCUCCCCUUAGAAACACGAGAUCUAGCUUGCAGUCUUUUGUUCCAAAAACACGUUUAAAAACUUGUGCAGACAGGGCUCUCUCUGUGGCCGGUGCUAGGCUGUGGAACAGCCUUCCUGUGACUGAGAGCCACACACAACAUAGAGCAUUUUAAAUAAUUACUUAAAACAUACUUGUUUGGUCUGGUUUUUAAUGCAGGUUGACUUGAGUAGUUACCUUUUGUUUUAUUUGACUUGUGUUUUUAUCUUAUACUCUUUUAACAUGAAAUGCUUUGAUAUGACUAAUUUUAACCUUGAUUUGACCACAAUUUGUUCUUUAUUGUGUUUUAUUUGUAUUUGGGUUUUUUUUUACCCUUGUUCAGCACUUUGGGGUUGCCUACGUGACUGUAAUUGUGCUACAUAAAUAAACCUUGACCUGAUGCAAACACACCCACAAAACAUCUAUACAAUCAAAAACACCAUUUUAAAGUUGUGUUGUUUUAUGUCAUCAAAUGGAAAAUACUGUUAAAAAGCACACAACGAUGUCCUUAUUAGAUUCAGCUUGUUCAUUAAAACUGUCACAAUCUGCUCCUGCCUCCCUGACUGUGUCUCUCCCCUGCCUGAUUAGUCUUUAUUGUUCUCACCUGCCCUGUGUUAAUCCGCCCAUGUGUUCCUGAUUUUCCCCUGUGUAUUUAUACCUCCCUUCUUGUAUCAGUCUUUGCCGGAUCAUUGUUUGUUGUCAGCGUUGUUUUUGUUCAGUCGUUCCCGCUCUGCCAUUAAAACUACUUUUAUUUCAUCCGUGCCUGCAUUCCUGCCUCCUGAUCUGCUCCACCACACAUGGUCCGCCGUCAUCCACACCCUCAACGUGGCAAAAACAUAAUAGUUAUUAUUUUACUUCACACAGGUUCAUCUGAUUCUUUUACAUUCACUUGAACCCAAAAUGGCAAUUUUUUUUCACCAAGGAAGUGAUGGAUAAUUCAUAAUAACAUGUUUAAUAUCUGCUAAUAAUGAGUAAGGUCACAAAAAAUGGUGCUAUGUUGUGGUGUGUUACACUCAGAGUGAACGAGGCAAUUAUUCCAGUUUUUGAUAACUUUUAGGAAGUACAGCUACAGCACUGUAAAAAAAUUAAAUAAGAAGAUGUGUGUGUGUGUGUGUGUGUGUGUGUGUGUGUGUGUGUGUGUGUGGUGGUGGUGGGGGGGGGGGUGCAUCAAUGAACAGACUACACUGACUAGCUCUCUUCUCUGCCAGCUCUGCCACACGCACCCCAUUUCCAAGGCAACAAACUGAUGGUGUUCAUGCUGUGAGAGGUUGUAUCUAAGUGUAACUGUGCAUAACAUAAAAACACCAACGCAAAGUGAUCAUGACUAAUAAAAUAAUGGUUGGUUUUGCCUUUUAACCCCAACAGAGAAACACUAACUGUUUUUAAUGGUGCAUCAAAUCAGGGUAAACCACAGCUCCAAUAGCUCAUCCAGACAGCUCAUAGCUCUUCUUGGUUCUCCAUCAAUUUCAUAAGCUGAUUUUAUGAUUUGAGGUGUUUUUGGACCCUAAAAAUCACACAGAAUCAGUGUUUUUGUGAAGCUUAGAGAAGAAUGGUAGCACCUUGACUGAAUUCCUGACUUGUAAAGAUCUGCAAGGUUUUCUCUGUUGGAAUAAACACGUUUUUGGUUGAA